AAGUCAUGAUGUGGGCAAGCACUUAGAAAAUCCUUAAACCUCUCCCAAUAUUGGAAGAAGGUUUCUUCCUCUUUCUACGAGAAGUUCAUGAUAGCCCUUUUAAGAGUGU
Magnolia sinica is the source of this 109-nucleotide small nucleolar RNA. The record is from RefSeq and is a predicted model, not a curated record. Lineage: Eukaryota; Viridiplantae; Streptophyta; Magnoliopsida; Magnoliales; Magnoliaceae.